GACGAAGGGGGCAAGCGUUGUUCGGAAUUACUGGGCGUAAAGGGCGCGUAGGCGGUUCUUUAAGUCAGGCGUGAAAGCCCUGGGCUCAACCUGGGAGUGGCGCUUGAUACUGGAGGACUAGAGAGUGGGAGAGGUUGGUGGAAUUCCCAGUGUAGAGGUGAAAUUCGUAGAUAUUGGGAAGAACACCGGUGGCGAAGGCGGCCAACUGGACCGAUUUCUGACGCUGAGGCGCGAAAGCGUGGGGAGCAAACAGG
RNAcentral lists this ribosomal RNA (254 nucleotides) under uncultured bacterium. RNAcentral's name for it is "partial 16S ribosomal RNA". It matches the Rfam family "Bacterial small subunit ribosomal RNA", at positions 524 to 776 of the family's 1533-position model. The record is from RNAcentral.